AUUGAACGCUGGCGGCAUGCCUUACACAUGCAAGUCGAACGGCAGCGCGGGGCAACCUGGCGGCGAGUGGCGAACGGGUGAGUAAUAUAUCGGAACGUACCCUGGAGUGGGGGAUAACGUAGCGAAAGUUACGCUAAUACCGCAUACGAUCUAAGGAUGAAAGUGGGGGAUCGCAAGACCUCAUGCUCCCGGAGCGGCCGAUAUCUGAUUAGCUAGUUGGUAGGGUAAAAGCCUACCAAGGCAUCGAUCAGUAGCUGGUCUGAGAGGACGACCAGCCACACUGGAACUGAGACACGGUCCAGACUCCUACGGGAGGCAGCAGUGGGGAAUUUUGGACAAUGGGCGCAAGCCUGAUCCAGCAAUGCCGCGUGAGUGAAGAAGGCCUUCGGGUUGUAAAGCUCUUUUGUCAGGGAAGAAACGGCAGUUUCUAAUACAGAUUGCUAAUGACGGUACCUGAAGAAUAAGCACCGGCUAACUACGUGCCAGCAGCCGCGGUAAUACGUAGGGUGCAAGCGUUAAUCGGAAUUACUGGGCGUAAAGCGUGCGCAGGCGGUUUUGUAAGUUUGUCGUGAAAUCCCCGGGCUCAACCUGGGAAUGGCGAUGAAGACUGCAAGGCUAGAAUCUGGCAGAGGGGGGUAGAAUUCCACGUGUAGCAGUGAAAUGCGUAGAGAUGUGGAGGAACACCGAUGGCGAAGGCAACCCCCUGGGUCAAGAUUGACGCUCAUGCACGAAAGCGUGGGGAGCAAACAGGAUUAGAUACCCUGGUAGUCCACGCCCUAAACGAUGUCUACUAGUUGUCGGGUUUUAAUUAACUUGGUAACGCAGCUAACGCGUGAAGUAGACCGUCUGGGGAGUACGGUCGCAGAUUAAAACUCAAAGGAAUUGACGGGGACCCGCACAAGC
Molecule: ribosomal RNA, 903 nt
Filed under: uncultured bacterium
Lineage: Bacteria
Description: bacterial SSU rRNA
Rfam family: Bacterial small subunit ribosomal RNA
Source: RNAcentral